RNAcentral lists this transfer RNA (75 nucleotides) under Methylomarinovum caldicuralii. Its description in RNAcentral is "tRNA-Gln". It matches the Rfam family "tRNA". Rfam says of the family: Transfer RNA (tRNA) molecules are approximately 80 nucleotides in length. Their secondary structure includes four short double-helical elements and three loops (D, anti-codon, and T loops). Lineage: Bacteria; Pseudomonadati; Pseudomonadota; Gammaproteobacteria; Methylococcales; Methylothermaceae. RNAcentral also lists the same sequence under 3 other names. The record is from RNAcentral.
UGGGGCGUCGCCAAGCGGUAAGGCACGGGGUUUUGAUCCCCGCAUUCCCAGGUUCGAAUCCUGGCGCCCCAGCCA